UAUAAAGUCUAACCUGCCCACUGAUAAUUAUUAAAGGGCCGCGGUAUUUUGACUGUGCAAAGGUAGCAUAAUCAUUUGUCUCUUAAUUGGAGGCUGGAAUGAAUGGUUGAAUGAAAUAUUAACUGUCUCAUUUUUAAAAUUUUAAAAACUUAGCUUUUAAGUCAAAAGGCUUAAAUGAAUUUAGAGGACGAGAAGACCCUAUAGAUCUUUAUAAUUUAUUUAAUUUUAUAAAAUAGAAAAAUAAUUAAUAAAAUUAAUAUAAUUAUUUUAUUGGGGUGAUAGGAAAAUUUAAUAAACUUUUUUUAUUUAUUAACAUUGAUUUAUGAUUAAUUGAUCCAUUUUUAGUGAUUAUAAGAUUAAGCUACCUUAGGGAUAACAGCGUAAUUUUUUUAGAGAGUUCUUAUCGAUAAAAAAGAUUGCGACCUCGAUGUUGAAUUAAAGGUUAUUUCUAGAUGUAGCAGUUUAGAGUUUAGG
Molecule: ribosomal RNA, 474 nt
Filed under: Chrysoperla lucasina
Lineage: Eukaryota; Metazoa; Arthropoda; Insecta; Neuroptera; Chrysopidae
Description: partial 16S large subunit ribosomal RNA
Rfam family: Bacterial large subunit ribosomal RNA
Source: RNAcentral